Myodes glareolus (Bank vole) is the source of this 893-nucleotide non-coding RNA. NCBI's taxonomy places the organism in Eukaryota, Metazoa, Chordata, Mammalia, Rodentia, Cricetidae. The record is from RefSeq and is a predicted model, not a curated record.
CCUCUGGUGGGAGACGAGCCACAGCACAAGGCUACACACUCCAGACUGUCUUGACUUAAGCUACAGAAGCCACCAACUCACCAAAAUCUGGGGAAAGUAGCCCAAAGCACCGUGGAGCCAAUUAAAGCCACACCCUCCCGACCCACACUCCAACUCCAAACCCAACCCCCUGUAGACAUAUCUCUUCUCAUCAACUAACCAAGUCACACCCUGUCGGAAGCUUUCACUAAGUUACCGUGUGCAACCACAGAAUUGAAAGAAACGCCGGAAGCUGUCCUUCUCUGAACAGACUUUAUAAAAGAUUUGCAGCUGAGACUGUGCUCUGAUACCUUCAGCUCUCUUCCAGCAGCCCUGAGUUCCUGCUCUUCUCCCAAGACUACCUCCUUGGUCAACAUUUAAUGGAACCGUAUUGAAGAGGGAGCAAACCAUUCGUUUUUCCACUUGCUUGUCAAACAAAGAAGAAUUGAUUGCUGUGGUGUACUGGGCAGAACCUACUGUGGCACAGACAGGCUUCUGAUUGAUGGAUCUUUGGAGUCCAUGAGUUUUGAACUGAAAUGUAGAGAGGACGCAUCUAGAGGGUGGAGAAUGAAUGCACAUACAGUAGUAAACAGAACCACAUGUUGGAGAAAGUAAAUGAUACCAAAGGGGCCCUAGCGCUUCCUUUCAAAAGGUAACAGAGAUAAACAGGGAAUCCAGAACCGUGUAAGGAAUCAGGUUUUGAAAUCACACAGACUUUAUCCCUCUGGUCUAGAUGGGAAAUAAAGGAGCGGCACUAGCUGAUUCCCCGGGUCCUGUGGUUCUCAGAGGGUGUGUGUGUGUGUGUGUGUGUGUGUGUGUGUGAUGGAUACCUUCUCUGCCCGGGAGAGAACACUUCUGGGCCAGAGAACAGAGCU